CCUACGGGUGGCAGCAGUGGGGAAUAUUGGGCAAUGGGCGCAAGCCUGACCCAGCAACGCCGCGUGAAGGAUGAAGGUUUUCGGAUUGUAAACUUCUGUCGCGAGGGACGAAGAAUGACGGUACCUCGUACGACAGCCCCGGCUAACUACGUGCCAGCAGCCGCGGUAAUACGUAGGGGGCAAGCGUUGUCCGGAAUGACUGGGCGUAAAGGGAGUGUAGGCGGCUUAUCAAGUUAGAUGUGAAAUCCCGCGGCUUAACCGCGGAACUGCAUCUAAAACUGGUGAGCUGGAGUGCAGGAGAGGUGAGUGGAAGUCCUAGUGUAGCGGUGAAAUGCGUAGAUAUUAGGAGGAACACCAGUGGCGAAGGCGGCUUACUGGACUGUAACUGACGUUGAGGCUCGAAAGCGUGGGGAGCAAACAGGAUUAGAUACCCCAGUAGUC
This 441-nucleotide ribosomal RNA is filed under the name uncultured bacterium. RNAcentral describes it as "partial 16S ribosomal RNA". It matches the Rfam family "Bacterial small subunit ribosomal RNA", at positions 338 to 795 of the family's 1533-position model. The record is from RNAcentral.